UACGUAGGGUGCUAGCGUUAAUCGGAAUUACUGGGCGUAAAGCGCACGCAGGUGGCUGAGUCAGUCGAUUGUGAAAGCCCUGGGCUUAACCUAGGAAUUGCAGUCGAUACUACUCGGCUAGAGUAUGGGAGAGGGCAGUGGAAUUCCCGGUGUAGCGGUGAAAUGCGUAGAUAUCGGGAGGAACAUCAGUGGCGAAGGCGGCGGCCUGGCCCAAUACUGACACUCAGGUGCGACAGCGUGGGGAGCAAACAGG
This 253-nucleotide ribosomal RNA is filed under the name uncultured bacterium. RNAcentral's name for it is "partial 16S ribosomal RNA". It matches the Rfam family "Bacterial small subunit ribosomal RNA", at positions 524 to 776 of the family's 1533-position model. The record is from RNAcentral.